GAGCGGUUAGCUCAGCUGGUUAGAGCACUACGUUGACAUCGUAGAGGUCGCAGGUUCGAGCCCCGCACCGCUCACCA
Molecule: transfer RNA, 77 nt
Filed under: candidate division WWE3 bacterium CG08_land_8_20_14_0_20_43_13
Lineage: Bacteria; candidate division WWE3
Description: tRNA-Val
Rfam family: tRNA
About the family: Transfer RNA (tRNA) molecules are approximately 80 nucleotides in length. Their secondary structure includes four short double-helical elements and three loops (D, anti-codon, and T loops). Further hydrogen bonds mediate the characteristic L-shaped molecular structure. tRNAs have two regions of fundamental functional importance: the anti-codon, which is responsible for specific mRNA codon recognition, and the 3' end, to which the tRNAs corresponding amino acid is attached (by aminoacyl-tRNA synthetases). tRNAs cope with the degeneracy of the genetic code in two manners: having more than one tRNA (with a specific anti-codon) for a particular amino acid; and 'wobble' base-pairing, i.e. permitting non-standard base-pairing at the 3rd anti-codon position.
Source: RNAcentral